Oncorhynchus tshawytscha (Chinook salmon) is the source of this 3873-nucleotide long non-coding RNA. The record is from Ensembl. Lineage: Eukaryota; Metazoa; Chordata; Actinopteri; Salmoniformes; Salmonidae.
CUUUUGCACACAUUGUAUAUAGACUCCCCCCUUUGUUUUCUACUGUGUUAUUGACUUGUUAAUUGUUUAUUCCAUGUGUAACUCUGUGUUGUCUGCUCACACUGCUAUGCUUUAUCUUGGCCAGGUCGCAGUUGCAAAUGAGAACUUGUUCUCAACUGGCCUACCUGGUUAAAUAAAGGUGAAAUAAAAAAAUAAUAAAAAAAUAAGAGCAUCUGCUAAAUGACAUAAAUGUCAAAUGUAGGUGUUUUACAUACAUAUCUCAGAUUACUGUACUAAAUAAAUGUUUUUUUUAACAUUGAUGUCAUAAGUGUAUAAUUUGUACAUUUCUUUAUUAAAAAUGUAGUUAUUUGUUACAGUUGACUGUAUAAAACCUAGCAAUACUUCUUAUUUAUCUGAGAGAGGUGAAUAUACAGCAUUUUGCAAAAGAACAUGAUUAUUUAUCUCUCUUUUAUUUAUUUACUUUUAUUUAUUUAUCUCUUUUAUUUAUCUCUCCAUCAAGUGAUUUUAAACAAAUACAUGUCCAGUACCAGUCAAAAGUUUGGACACACCUACUUUGUAGAAUAAUAGUAAAGAAAUCAAAACUAUUAAAGAACACAUAUGUAAUCAAAAUAUAUUUUAGAUUUUAGAUUCUUCAAAGUAGCCACUCUUUGCCUUGAUAGCUUUGCACACACUUGGCAUUCUCUCAACCAGCCUCACCAGGAAAGCUUUUCCAACAGUCUUGAAGGAGUUCCCACAUAUGUUGAGCACUUGUUGGCUGCUUUUCCUUCAUUCUGCAGUCCAACUCAUCCCAAACCAUCUCAAAUGGGUUGAGGUUGGGUGAUUGUGGAGGCCAGGUCAUCUGAUGCAGCACUCCAUCACUCUCCUUCUUGGUCAAAUAGCCCUUACACAGCCUGGAGGUGUGUUGGGUUAUUGUCCUGUUGAAAAACAAAUGAUAGUCCCACUAAGCGCAAACCAGAUUAGGUGGAGAAUGCUGUGGUAGCCAUGCUGGUUAAGUGUGCCUUGAAUUCUAAAUAAAUCACAGACAGUGUCACCAGCAAAGCACCCCCACACCAUUACACCUCCUCCUCCAUGCUUUUACGGUGGGAACUACACAUGUGGAGACCAUCCAUUCACCUACUCUGCGUCUCAUAUAGACACGGCGGUUGGAACCAAAAAUCUAAAAUUUGGACACCAGACCAAAGGUCAAAUUUCCACUGGUCUAAUGUCCAUUGCUAAUUUUUCUUGGCCCAAGCAAGUGUCUUCAUAUUAUUGGUGUCCUUUAGUAGUGGUUUCUUUUCAGCAUUAACUUUUAACAAGGCACACCUGUUAAUUGAAAUGCAUUCCAGGUGACUACCUCAUGAAGCUGGUUGAGAGAAUGCCAAAAGUGUGCAAAGCUGUCAUCAAGGCAACGGGUGGCUACUUUGAAAAAUCUCUAAUAUAAAAUAUAUAUUGAUUUGUUUAACACUUUUUUGUUACUACAUGAUUCCACAUGUGAUAUUUCAUAGUGUUGAUGUCUUCACUAUUACUGCAACGUAGAAAAUAGUAAAAAUAAAGAAAACCCUUGUAUGAGUAGGUGUGUCCAAAGUUUUAACUGUGACUGUAUGUCAUUGAACAACCCAAUGCCAUGAUUAAAUAGUGAAAAAACACACACAUCUCGUUCAUAUUUUCUUUAAACAAUAAAGCUCCUUUACCAAUAUUUCUGAAAAUGGAUACAUAGCGUUUCUGAAUUAAACUCUUCAAAUGUAACAGCCUGAGCACACUGGACUUGAAACAACGAUACAGAUGUAACCAUUGAAUGUAUUAUCUGACCAGGCACUAGUGCUCCCAUGUCAAAAUUCCAUGUGCAUUCCACAGGUCACAUUUAUGAGGGAGUUUUCAAAAAAAAUGAUCAAGAUUAGGAAAAGUUUCAAGGCACACCAGUGGGGAACCACUGGAGUAAAGUAUCACUGUAAAAUAUGGCUCACAUACAGAAAUAAAAGUAUUUUAAUUAUUUCUGUCUGGUUACAGUCAAGACUACAUUAGCACUGUGACCUUCUAUUGAUGAUGUACCUACAUAUAGGCUUUUAAUGAAGAUACAUUUCUUUUCUUGAAUUCCCACACCUUAUUGACUGUGAGCAAACCAUUCAACAAUUCACCUCCUUAUUCUCCCUCUACUGUAACAUCUUGUUUGGGAUUUUUAUCUUUAAAACCCCAUGGGGAAUUGUUCCAGAAUAUGUCUGUCAAUGUCUCCUAUUUUUGAUAAUCUACUAUCAUGGAAAUCAGUUUACAUUACAUUUAUUUCUCCACAUUCUGCCUCUCCCUCUCUCUCCCUGUCUCUCUCACGCUCUGUCUCUCUCUCCCUGUCUCUCUCACUCUCUGUCUCUCUCCCUGUCUCUCUCACUCUCUCUCCCUGUCUCUCUCCCUGUCUCUCCCUGUCUCUCUUGCUCUCUGUCUCUCUCUCCCUGUCUAUCGGUCUCUCUCUCUCCCCCGUGUCUCUCUCACUCUCUGUCUCUCUCUCUCUCUGUCUCUGUCUCUCUCAAUCUCUGUCUCUCUCUCCCUAGGCCUACGUACAAUAUUUAGACAAACCGAGGCUUCUUCCUUAGCUUGGAGACUUCAUACCCAGGGUCAUGCCUGUGAACCUAUCCACUCUGACUGUUUGCCUGCUAGGCACAGCCAUUCUCUGUGCAGACAUUUAUCCUGCAUCUUCAAACAAUACAUCUACCCCAACAGCACCAUCUGUAAGCCCAGAGGAUACUCCUGCCACCGUCGCAGCUUCCACCACUGGUACUAACACCUCUGCUCCAGGGACUGACCCCACAUCUAACCCCACAGAGGCCAAGAGCACCAUGGUCUCCACAUCCGACCAGGCAAAUGAAGAAGCCACAGAGACAAUAUUGUCAACUGGCGAGAUAGCCGGCAUUGCUGUCGGAAGCAUUGCUGGAGUGGCGGCUAUUGGUGGAGGGAUCUUUGCUGGUCUGAAGUUUAGUGGUAAGCUGGCAGGUUAGUGUUGCUAGACUGGACUGGACAGUGCUGGGUAAAGAUAAGCUGAGUGGGUUGGUAAGGGGAGAUUCGAUUGGCCUGAGACCAGUCCAAGACUCUACAUACUGCACAACCACUGUGGGAAAAAACAGAGCCCUCUCACCUUCCUCUAUCUGAAACCACUGCCAACCAACACAUUGAGACCUUAAUUUACAACUAUACAGGAAUACAGAUUGCAUUACUAUGAGCCACAAUCUGGAAUUGUAUACUGUGGUCAGUCGAGAUAAUAUACUACUUCUACUGCUAUAUAAGCAUAUGCAUACUGUAUAUCACAUGUUAUCCAUGGCCACAAUGUAGCAUUCAGCUGUUGAUGCAUAUGCUUUUCCUAUCUAGUGAGAGCAUACAGUAUAUGGGGAAAAAGGAGAACAGUGACUGAAAAAGACAAAUGAUAAUACGAAAUAACAUGAUAGCUACAGUAUAUAUUUAAUAUAUGGUAGCAAAUAUAUUUUAAUAUUAUGGUUCACCGCACAUCUUGUGGUGACAGCUUAACCGUGCUUUGAACCUUCUGCUAAGUGUAUUUUUAAACAUUUUAAGAUGAUCAAUGAUUUUUGUUGAUUGAUUUAAUUAUUUUAUUUUUUGUCAUUAAACAUUUUAAGAUGAGAAUGAAUGAUCACAUGGGAUUUUGAAUGUUAUUUCCUCAAAAAUUAUUAUGCACACACUUUAUUUCACAACAAAAUACCAUGAUAAUUAUGGUAUUAUGGUCACAAUGUAAACACCUCAUUUUGUAAUAAAGACCAAGAGUAGUUGUGUGACUUUGUUGUGUUUUAUUUGUGGCAGCCAUCUUGUGAAGGUGCCAUUUGAGGGAUGUGUACCCUCUCCCCUCCCAGCUCUGAUGGUGUGCUCUCUGUCUGCAUGCUUUCAUUAUGUCUCAGCACU